Long non-coding RNA from Peromyscus leucopus (white-footed mouse), 3755 nucleotides. RefSeq lists it as uncharacterized. NCBI's taxonomy places the organism in Eukaryota, Metazoa, Chordata, Mammalia, Rodentia, Cricetidae. The record is from RefSeq and is a predicted model, not a curated record. The transcript is spliced from 2 exons.
CACACACACAGAGAGAGAGAGAGAGAGAGAGAGAGGCACCCUAAUACACAAAUGAUAAUAAAUAAAAAGUAAGUCAAUAAAUCAAAGAUGGUACAACCUAAAUGUUUUUCCAAGAGAGGCUUUUAGGAAGGGGCUAAGAACUUCCCUCUCUUUUCAGAUGAGACAAGACUGACACAGACACCCAAGGACUCACUGCUGGAACCACAUGGAAUGUCCCCACCACGUUCAUGCUCCGCUGUGUUAUACUUCAUCUUAUUUCCCCUCUUUGUGUGUGUUGUGUAACUGGCUAGCCUUUGUGGAUGUUAAAAGUGUUUAUGGUGUUUUGAUAGGCAGUGUGCUAGGGACUGAGGUAGUGUGUUAGGUACUGAGGUAGUGUGCUAGGUACUGAGGUAGUGUGCUAGGUACUGAGGUAAUGUGUUAGGUACUGAGGUAGUGUGCUAGGUACUGAGGUAGUGUGCUAGGGACUGAGGAUCAGAGGGUGGUGUGGCUAGUUCUGAUUGUCAACUCAAUGAGGUUACAGAAAAAGGUCUCAGCAUGUUUAGAGAUCAUAAAGUGUAGUGAAUCAGGGGACUCAUCCUAAAUGUGGAUGGCACCAUUCCAUGGGCCGUGGUGCCAGCCUGACUACAAUGGAGAAAGCAAGCUAGGCACAAGAGGUCAUUGCUCCCCUCUCCAGUGUGGCCAACCCACCUCUGCUCCCAUACCUUCCUGGGACAGUGUUCCCUGGAACUGUGAAGCCAAGCAGACCCUUCCCUCUUUAAGUUGCAUUUAUUGGGCCUCUUAUCCCAGCAGCGAGACAAGUAACUAACACAGGUAGGUAAGGCCUGAGCCCUGCUUUCCAGGCCCUACUGGUCUAGAGGAGGGUGAACCGGAAGGAUGUCAUCAGGAUGUACAGCAUGCUGCCCUGGACCUGGGCCAAGACAAACACAAGGAUUUUAACUUUCUCUGGACGGAAAGAAUUCAAGGACAUGUUCUGGGGGAGCUGUUAUCUGCAGUGCACUUUGAAAGGUAGAUAAGAUGUUAGGAGAAAAAAACUGGGUGAAGGGCUUGAAUGCCAGGGCCGUGGGACACAGUGAGCUGCUGUGGGGUUAUGAGCGCUCAGCCAUGUAGGAAAGUGCACUGCUUAAUUAACCUGCCCAUUAAAUCUCAGAGAACCCUUUAGAAGGACAGGUUGCCUGAAGUCAAAGCAAGUGUUUUUAUUUGUUUAUUAUUAAUUUUUCUUUUCUCUAAAUGCCACAGGAGUGGCAGUUGGUCGGAUAAUUAGACUCAACUUGCACCCGUGCUCAGAUGUGCAGCCUGCUUUUGCUUUCCUUGAAAUCAUAUUUCCCUGCCUUGCUUGUUGGUUUAGAGACAGAGUCUCAUGUGCCCAGGCUGGCCUCAAAGUUGAUUUAUAGCUGAGGGUGGCCUUGAACAGCUGAUCCUCCUGCCUCUCCCAAGUGCUGCUAUUAUAGGCAUGUGCCCUCUUGCCUAGUUCACAUGGUGUUGGGGAUCUGGGGGACAAACCCUAGGCUCCAUGCAUGUUAGGGAAGUGCUCUGUCAACUGAACCACAGCCCCAGCCACACUGGGUAUAUUUUAAUACAACUGUUAUAUAGUUUUAUCGUCUAAUCAUCCUUUCCCCCAUGUUAAACAACCAGGUUCAGGGAAUCUGAUACAGCUCAUCUUUUCUGACCAUGUCUGUCUGUUGAACUCUGCAGUCGUUUCCAUAUUUAAAAAUUAUUGUUAGCUCUCUGGAGCAAUCUGCAUGUUCCUAUGCCGCCCCACCCCAAGUAUUCACCGUGUGUCAGAUAUUAUACUAAAUCACCGAUUGUCAAACAUUGUGGUCUAAGAAGCCUUUGUACUCCCAGAAAUCACUGAGGAUAUUAAAGACCUUUUGCUUAUGUGAAUUAUACUCAUUGAUCCUUGCCAUCUUAGAGCCAGAAAGGGAGAAAAUUUUCAAAUGUGUAUUUAUUUUAAAAUCAGAAUCCCCUUGGAGUCUAACAUAAAUAACAUAUUGUAAUGAAAAAGAUUACUGCUUUCCACAACAAAACAGUUCGAAGACUGGCGUUUUUUAUUUAUUUAUUUUCUUUGCUUUUGCAAGUAUCUUUUUAUGUGUGGCUCAAAAGAAAGCGGCUGGAUCUCUGACCCUGUGGCUCUAAUCCAUCUGUUGUGACCUAACAUGUUCUGUGACCUCUGCAGAAGUCCACUUCUUUUGACAAGGAUUAUUAUGAUGGAAAUAGUCGUGACCUCGUGGGUUUCCUUGAAGGAGUCUUGUGAACCCCAGGGAACCAUGGCCACACUUGUGGGAAGUGCUAUGAUGCCCUUGUUGGCUGUGGAGUGGACAGACUGACAUGUGGAGAUGGGGAGGGAGCUGGAAAGAGCCUGGUGUCUUUUGGUAUGUGUUAUUAUACUGGGUCGGAUUAGUCUCACAGUAAUUCUUGGGGCUGCAUUCGCUUAGAUUUGAACCCACGCAAAGAGAUUGUAUGUGUUUAGGUUUUCUUUAUAACUAAACAAAAACAUGGAAAUGAGGAAAAGUCAUGUGAAAACAUUAAAGAAUGGGUAACAAAAAAAAGACCACAAUGUUUCCAUCUCACCAAAAGAAGUCUCAGGGACUAGGAAGUGUAGCUCACUGGUAGAGUACUUGCUUGCCUAGUGUGGCCCAGGCCCUGGGAACAACUGAUAGCAACUAAACCAAACCAAACCAAAAAAAUAUUUCAGAAAUGAUAUCAUCCUCCAUAAGGGAGUAACAGGUGUUUCUUGGUAUUGUUUGUUCAUUACAAGUAGCUCUCUCCCUCCCUCCCUCUCUCCCUCCCUCUCUCCCUCCCUCUCUCCCUCCCUUCCUCCCUCCCUCCCAUCAUUUCUCUGUCUCUCUGUGAUAUGCACAUAUGCGUGUGUGGGGGUGGGCAGUGCCUGCCCCAGGUACAUGUGCAGAAGCCAGAGCAGGAUUUCCCAUGUCUGCCUUGUUCUCUGCCUCACUCCUUUGAGUCAGGGUCUGCUCUGAACCCGGAGUGAGGCUCGCCUCUUGGCUCCUUCCUUCCCACAGUGCUGGUGUUACAGGUGUGUGUGUGUGUGUGUGUGUGUGUGUGUGUGUGUGUGUGUGUCCAUUCUCAGCUUCUUUAUGUGAGUUCUGGGGAUUGGAACUCGGCUCCUCGUGCUUAAGUAGCAAGCAUUUUUCCCAGCUGAGCUGUCUCUCCAGCCCAAGGAGGUUGUUUGUCUCAACUAUUUUAAACCCCUUCCUUCACAGGCCGUUCCCCUGUCUAGUGCCGUGUGUGUGUGUGUGUGUGUGUGUGUGUGUGUGUGUGUGUGUGUCUGCGCGCGUGCGUUGAAAAGCAUUCCCUUCUGUAGUUUCUUCAGGCCGGGUACGUUAUCUCUUCAGAGAACAUUUUGGAGUUCUAUUUUAGAGUUGAAUUAAUCCAAGUAUCCAAAAGCUUUUCACCUGAUAUUUUGGAAGCUUUUUAUUAGACACAGCACUACAUGAUUUCCCAAUAUCCGUGAAACAAAUGGAUAUGAGGGUUCUAAUAAAACUGAUAUAUUUAUCUGUACCCUUCAACUCAUAAAAUGGAAUUUGAUCACAUUCAAAUUGUAUUUUGAAAUAUUUAGGGCAGUGUAUUGUAAAUGUUUUAAAAGUUAACUGGGGAAAAAAGAUGAAAGACUUUUAAUUUCCUUGGACUGGAAUAUUUCAAGUUGAAAGCUGCUGCAUCACAUUCUCCGUGCCUUCUGUGGCUGGUUUGGGAUUCUUGGCCUACGAUUGAAUAUUUUGCAUCACUUAAAAAAAAAAAAA